Molecule: non-coding RNA, 406 nt
Organism: Pelobates cultripes (western spadefoot toad)
Lineage: Eukaryota; Metazoa; Chordata; Amphibia; Anura; Pelobatidae
Source: the annotation of a GenBank genome assembly
UGUAUCAUGGUCUCUGAGGACAGGUGUCAAUCCAUAUCUGCCAAGUGACCCUAUGUAGGAGGAACAGUCUAUAUUCUGCUCUGUGUCAGUGUGUAUCAGGGGCUCUGAGGACAGGUGUCAAUCCAUAUCUGCUAAGUGACCCUAUGUUGGGGUAACAUUCCCUAUUCUGCUCUGUGUCAGUGUGUAUCAGGGAUCCUUAGGACAGGUGUCAAUCCAUAUCUGCCAAGUGACCUCAUGUUGGGGUAACAUUCCCUAUUCUGCUCUGUGUCAGUGUGUAUCAGGGGCUCUGGGGACAGGUGUCAAUCCAUAUCUGCCAAGUGACCCUAUGUAGGAGAACAGUCUCUAUUCUGCUCUGUGUCAGUGUGUAUCAGGGGCUCUGAGGACAGUUGUCAAUCCAUAUCUGCCA